CUGCACAGACCAGAAAGCAAACCCUCACUGGAACCAAAUAAGCAGGCACUUUGAUCUUGGACUUCUCAGUCUCCAGAACUGUGAGAAAUAAAUAGCUGUUAUUUAAGCCCCUUGGUCUAUGACACUUCACAAUAGCAGUGGAAACAGACUGAGACAGAGGAUCUCUCUGAAAACAAGAUUCUUUCAUGUUUAAGGAAGAAUUUUUUUUAUAAAAUAAUGGCAACGAGCUAAACAGUGGAGCAAUAAGGGAGGAAGGGGAGUGGACUAUCUGUACCAUUUUCCAUGCAUUCUGUAAAGACAUGGCUGGGAACACCAAACCCGUGUGGGAAUGCAAACAUUUCCAGAGAGCUAAGUUAUGACUACAAGCACUGAUCAAAUCAGAUUGGACUGUGUACUCUGAGGAGCCACUGUUCCAGAAGUAACUCCAACUCUGUCUUCUGAAGACAAAGAACACCGUGAGUCAGCAUGUUCAGAUAGUUCUGUGGAACCAGUGUGGCACCUGCCAUAAAUUGCAACAGCCUCUGCCAAAUUCCUUGAAACAUACACAGGGCCAGGAACUCUUUCCAUUGCAUAUGGGAUGUCUUGAAGACACAGAGGAUUAAGUGAAUUUCCAGCCCUUCACUGAUGUUGUGGGGAAGACAUAUGAAAAGGUAUAUCUUAAAGCUGGGUCCAGUGUUAAAGACUUGAGAGCCAUCUAACCAGCCAGCCAUCCAUUCUUCAGAGGAGACAAAGAACAUGGAAGGAAAUUGUAAACCUGCCAGCAUCUAUCUGGACUACAAAAAAUGGCCUUGAUGCCUUUUCUUUUUUAAUUCCCAAAAGUUUGUGUCCUCUAUUAGC
RNAcentral lists this long non-coding RNA (837 nucleotides) under Heterocephalus glaber (naked mole-rat). RNAcentral's name for it is "lncRNA (ENSHGLG00100047658.1)". The record is from RNAcentral. Lineage: Eukaryota; Metazoa; Chordata; Mammalia; Rodentia; Bathyergidae.